Struthio camelus australis is the source of this 3747-nucleotide long non-coding RNA. RefSeq lists it as uncharacterized. The record is from RefSeq and is a predicted model, not a curated record. Lineage: Eukaryota; Metazoa; Chordata; Aves; Struthioniformes; Struthionidae.
CAAAUUUUACACCCCUAAAUCUCCACUGAGAUGCGUCGGUCCUGCAUUGCAUCUGCUGCUGCAAUCUCUUAUGCAAAAGAGCCUCAGUGAAGGGAGAGCAGAUCGGCAUGUACCUUCCUUUCCCCUGCAGUUUGCCCUCCGUGCGAGGAAAGGCGAACGCCAUUCCCAAACGAAGCUGUGAGCACGGGGAAAUCCUGCAUUCGUUUCCGAAGAUAUUGCAGAUCCGGUGGCUAAAUGACAUAUGCCGCGCUGCUGCCCCCGGGCUUUUCUCCCUGGCUCUGUGCAAACAGCCUGUCACUUGCUCACCGGCUGCCCCACGACUUGGCUGCUGUUACAGGGCGGGCUCGGGGAUUGCUUUCUUCUGAGUAAAUGACUUACGCGUGCACACAACGUGACAAAGGAACCUUGUAAAAUCAGGAGCAGAGAUGGUGUUUGGCCCUCCGACCCCCUGACCCUGCAACAAUUUAGUUAAUGAUUCGGGUUAUCAGAUAUACUGGCUCAGCAGUGCAUCCAUCACGGGGUUGACAAGGAUUCAAUCCUACAAGGGGCGGGAAUGUGCAAACACAUUCGAUCCUCGCCUGUCCAGCCCCCAGCGUGCCUCCCCACUAAAUCCAAGAACAAACAGAGCGUUUCCAUUGGGUGAAGAUCUGCUGUGAUUUAUUGGGAAAUAAUAUACAGAAAGGGCUUGCAGGACCUGGGCCUGCCUCACAUGCAGAACCUACGAGAUGCUGCUGGCUGCCAGCUCUCCUUGCAGCACAUCAAGGGAAAAGCAGCAAGCAAUUGCGCUUUACCUUGCACGAUGGCCUUUGCCUGUUUCUCUGCAAUAUUUUAAUUGCACUAGAUUAAAUCUUGUGGCCCAAGUACCUCACUGAAAUCAACAGCCUUCUGUGCUGAACCUAAGACUUUUACCUUGCAUCCAUACUGCUUCUAUGUCCCAGCUCUCUGCACUCUUGCCCCUUGUCCAUUAUUUAUUUUCAGCCCCUGCCCAGGACACUGUGACCCCCCCCAUUGCCCUAGAUACUGUCCAGUCCUCCACCCCCUUUCUGUAGAUUAUUCUGCAAUAAAUCACAACGAUCUUCACAUGGUGAAAAAGCUCUGUUUGCUUGGAUUUUGGGGAGGUCAGUAAAAAUGCUCUGAGCCAGCGUAGCUCCAAGGACACCAAAAUAAGCUUUGAGAACUGGUCCUGCAACAGCAACAGCCCGGGGUUGCCCAGACCUGGACCUGACCCAAACUCCCAAGCUUUGCGAUGGAUGGCUUGCCCCUGCGUUCUUGGGUUUCAUGGUAUUUUCAUGCUUGAGCAAGGCCCGAAGCAAACUGCUGAAAUACAGCUGGUCAGCUCACCAGCUUUUUUUACGCUUAACAGACCUGGAAAAAUCUGGAAAUGCUUCCUUUGCACAGGCAGUUUAGAAAUGAGCUUGAACUGAAAGUCUCCAAAGAUCUGUCCUUCCUUCUGUUCAAAUCCGGUCAUAAAUUCCCACUCCCAUUUCAUUUUCUUGCCUCUUUAUGUCAUGACUGUGCUGGCGCGAAGGAGCAGCCAAACAGCAGAUUGCUGCAAAGCCUGCUGGUGCCAAGGCCAGGCUGCACACGCCGCGCUGGCACGGCGAGUGGCGCGGAGGCUCGGGGGACCUCUCAGACUGUGAACUUUUGGCUCUCCAUCUUGAAGAAAUGCUUCCAGAAGACAGGCUGACACGUCCCGUAGGCUGAACCAACGCUGUCUAACACCGGCCGUCGGAGAGCACCGGGAGACGACACACUGCAGAGCAAGGCAAGCAUUAACUGGCCCGACGCACAUCUCUUCUGCGUAGCAAUUAUUUCAAAUAAGACUCACAGUCUCCAGUUCAUUGAACAACCACACGGCAAGAGCAUAACUCCUGUCUGAAGAUCUAAAAUAAAGAGUAAUGCUCCAUUCAAAGGCCCCUGAGUUUAAUCCCUCCUGAUUCACCAGGGAAGUUUACUGCACGCCCAACUUCAAGCUCACGCAGAAAUGCCCCUGAAUGAAAGAGCCUGUGAGUAUUUAAGUUCAGUGCUGCCUGGAAAUGGAGGCCAAUGUAUACGAAAACCCUUUUCUCUCUUGAACCUUUUGUAGACAAUGAAAACAGUGAAAACUCAGAAUUCAAGACUGAGGUGAUAGUUUCAUUCCUUCUCGCUUGGAAACUUUCAGAAGAACUUACGGGUCAUUUUGCCCUGUGUUUUUCUCGGUGUGGGUGUGGGUGUGCAAACCACACGUACAGCAUCAACCUGCAGUGAACUCAGAGUCACAAAAUUGGAAUUCUGCUGUUUCCAGCAUCUAAAACAUCAGUUCAGUUAUGGAACAGGAAGCUUUAUCACAGAUUCUGAAUUCAUUAUACUACGCAGUAUGGCAAGUCAUAACACUGAUGGGGGAUUUUCCUUUUUGUUGGCACAACAUGAAAUCAUGUCCUAGUGGGAGGGAUAUCUGUCUCUCGCUCAUGUUUUUCAACAUGGGCCUAAGAACCUGCUUUCUACUUAGUUUUCCAGACUUAGAUACAGAUCUACGUGUUGAACCUUCAGAACCAUGACCCUUUCAAACAGUGCAAUUUCCUGAUAAUAUAUAGCAAGCUAAGGGAACUCCAGCAAUGCUAACUAACAAAACAGUGGAUGGCCUAUAAAGGUUUCCUUUGAAAAUGAAGGUUGCUCUUGAAAUGGUAUUGUUGCACAGCAUCAUAGUCUUAAAAAAUGGUACACUGGGCUGCAGGUGGACGUGGAGGGAGCACCAGAAGGCUCUUCAUUCCAAGGGGACACUCUGCGUGGGGCUGGCCUCAAUGCAGCACAUUGGGGCAGGGAGUCUGUUGUGCUAUUCACAGCACUCUGCCAUUUGCUGCCAAGGAAACCAAAGCUCGGUGCUGGACCUUGAAUCUCAGGGCCUUGAACUGCUGAAGGUUGGCAGAACCAUUUAAAUAAUGCCAUCAGUUCUUGGGUAUUCAUGCUCAUUAGUGGGGACUGCAGAUGUGACAGCCACCGCUCCUGUAGGUAGUUCCUCGCUAAUUUUCCAAAUCAGAAGUAUUAGGGCAUAAAACAAGGCAGGGGACCUUUCUGUGACACCAAGUGACACAAAUUGACUGUGUCCACGUUACAUAGCAUUUGAGACUGGCUCUCCUCUGGGGCCCAUAUGAUGACCCUCAGACACUAUUAUUUUUUGUAUAUUUUUUCAGCUCACACUGUCAGCAGUAACACAAGGGUCAUACUAGUCAGAAUGGCUGAAAUUGAGGUUAUGAUUGUAUACCCUACCAUGAAGUCAUGGGAAGAUGCAAAUGCGUGGGGACCAUGCUCUGUGCUAAGAAAAUAAGGGAUGGCAGGAAUGAACAUUUGCUGUCAGGUGGGCAGCAUUCUCCACAUAUUUCCUUAUAUAAGAGCCCAUACCAGCUACACCGUGCCACUGUGUCCUGGAUGGGCAGGAAACGUGCAACAGGGUGACCCCAGAAAGGGAAAAAUCUGAUUGUCUCUUCCAUAGACUGAUGGGGAUGCCAUAUAGUGCUUACACUGUGCAGUGUUGGUUGACUGUCUUCUCUCCGGCCAUCUGGAGUAGCAAAACUGGCAUGUAACAUAUGUGAAGGCAGACUAUAACAGCUGAAGCUGGAAAAGAGAAAGACAGAGGAAGCUGUCUGUGCUACCAGAAACUAUUCUGCUAGAUACAGGGGUUUCAUUUAUUUACCAAUAAAUGUCAGACAUCAGUAACAACUAGGAAUGAACCCCAAAAUGAGGAAGAUAGAUAGAUGCAUGAGAAAUAGU